AGAGUUUGAUCCUGGCUCAGAGUGAACGCUGGCGGCGUGCUUAACACAUGCAAGUCGAACGAGAACAGGAGAGAGCUUGCUUUCUUGCUGCUAAGUGGCGCACGGGUGAGUAAUAUAUAGGUAAUAUGCCUCUUACUAAGGGAUAAUUGAUGGAAACGUCUUGUAAUACCUUAUAUGCCUUUUGAACAUAAGUUCGUAAAGGGAAAGAUUUAUCGGUAAGAGAUUAGCCUGUAUGGUAUCAGUUUGUUGGUGGGGUAAUGGCCUACCAAGACUAUGACACCUAACUGGUUUGAGAGGAUGAUCAGUCACACUGGAACUGAGACACGGUCCAGACUCCUACGGGAGGCAGCAGUGGGGAAUAUUGCACAAUGGACGAAAGUCUGAUGCAGCAACGCCGCGUGGAGGAUGACACAUUUCGGUGCGUAAACUCCUUUUAUAUGAGAAGAUAAUGACGGUAUCAUAUGAAUAAGCACCGGCUAACUCCGUGCCAGCAGCCGCGGUAAUACGGGGGGUGCAAGCGUUACUCGGAAUCACUGGGCGUAAAGAGCAUGUAGGCGGGUAAAUAAGUUGGAAGUGAAAUCCUAUAGCUUAACUAUAGAACUGCUUCCAAAACUGUUUACCUAGAGUAUGGGANAGGUAGAUGGAAUUUCUGGUGUAGGGGUAAAAUCCGUAGAGAUCANAAGGAAUACCGAUUGCGAAGGCGAUCUACUGGAAACAUUACUGACGCUCACAUGCGAAAGCGUGGGGAGCAAACAGGAAUUAGAUACCCUGGUANGUCCACGCCCNNAAACCAAUGUACCACUAAGUUGUUGCUANACUA
This 820-nucleotide ribosomal RNA is filed under the name uncultured bacterium. Its description in RNAcentral is "bacterial SSU rRNA". It matches the Rfam family "Bacterial small subunit ribosomal RNA", at positions 8 to 834 of the family's 1533-position model. The record is from RNAcentral.